RNAcentral lists this long non-coding RNA (199 nucleotides) under Physcomitrium patens. RNAcentral's name for it is "long non-coding RNA (PPAT_LNC006437)". Lineage: Eukaryota; Viridiplantae; Streptophyta; Bryopsida; Funariales; Funariaceae. The record is from RNAcentral.
AAAUGAGGCCCUUUGUUGUUUGCCUUAAAUACAACCUUUACAAGCUAGUGACAUAGCAUUGUGGCUUAUAUGACCAAGAUCUAAGUCACUUACCAUGGAUUGGAACUCUUUCAUGCUCUUGGCAUUCAAAUGACCAAAGCGUCAAUGCCAAAUGCCAAACUUAUCUUGAUCUUGAGGAAAUUCAGUAAAUGCUGCGACU